RNAcentral lists this ribosomal RNA (429 nucleotides) under Chloroflexota bacterium. Its description in RNAcentral is "Chloroflexi bacterium partial 16S ribosomal RNA". It matches the Rfam family "Bacterial small subunit ribosomal RNA", at positions 355 to 776 of the family's 1533-position model. Lineage: Bacteria; Bacillati; Chloroflexota. The record is from RNAcentral.
UGGGGAAUCUUGCACAAUGGGCGCAAGCCUGAUGCAGCCAUGCCGCGUGUAUGAAGAAGGCCUUCGGGUUGUAAAGUACUUUCAGUCGGGAGGAAGGUGGUAAGGUUAAUAACCUUAUCAAUUGACGUUACCGACAGAAGAAGCACCGGCUAACUCCGUGCCAGCAGCCGCGGUAAUACGGAGGGUGCAAGCGUUAAUCGGAAUUACUGGGCGUAAAGCGCACGCAGGCGGUUGAUUGAGUCAGAUGUGAAAUCCCCGGGCUUAACCCGGGAAUUGCAUCUGAUACUGGUCAGCUAGAGUCUUGUAGAGGGGGGUAGAAUUCCAUGUGUAGCGGUGAAAUGCGUAGAGAUGUGGAGGAAUACCGGUGGCGAAGGCGGCCCCCUGGACAAAGACUGACGCUCAGGUGCGAAAGCGUGGGGAGCAAACAGG